AGCACCUGGUCAUGCCAUGCCUAAAAUAAACCGCUAAAUCAGACAGGGUGAAAGGGCUGCUGUCUACUGGGAAAGGAGGGGCCUGAGAGAGCCUGGGGGGUAUCAGUCCAGCUGCUCUGGCUCUAGGCCCUCACAACAGAGGUGGAGAGGGUGACUCUCUUUUCUCCAGUCACCCGAAGUGCCUCCUAUAACCUAAAUGUCCCUUUAUGCUGGUUACAGUCCACCUGUGUGUUACCUGAAGGAUGAAUCAUCCACUGUGUCAGUGACGACAGUCUGGCUGUCCCGUGAGGAGGAGGCAAGUAUUUUGAAGGAGAGGGGAAGACAGGUGAAAGGGCAGACUCAGUGCCUUUCUACAGCAAAAGGAAUCUUCAUAGCACUGAGGUCAAGAGCGUGGCCCUGGAAUUGGAGCUGAGUUCUCACACCAACUGUGCCACUUACGAUCAGUUUACCUUGGGAAAUUUGGGUGUGCCAAGCCAUGUUUCCCUCACCUGUAAAGCUGGGACAGCCCCAGCAUCUGCCGCAGAAAAGUGAGGGAUCACACAGGACAAGCCCAGUGGCCGGCACACGUCGGGAGCACAGGCCUCUCUUCUCAAAUCCCCAGCGUCCCCUUCUCCACUUGUUCAAGGCUUCUCCUUUGGCAAGGCCUGGUCAGGCAGACCCCGUUCCUGCCAGCCCUCCUCUGGACUCUGACUGCCCCGACGCCCGCCUGGCCUGUGGCUCUCAUCUCAGGAAGAUGUGCAGUGCGUGGAGCCAGAAGCUGGUCUGCGUAAAGUUGGCAGUGGAAGUGACAUUUAAAAAGUUAGUUAAUGCAACUAUUAGGUUACCUUCCAUAUUUUGUGGCGAUUGCGGUGUCUGUUCGUUUUUUUUCACAAUUUGUAAUUUGUUAGAAUUUUUUAAUCAUUCUAUAUUAAUGAUUUCCCUUGUAUCAGAAUUUGUAUCUGUAAGUCUGUGCUGUUUUCCUCAAAGGGUCCCCCCUAAAACAGCCCAGGCUUCGGGCUCUACGUGGGAACUUUCCUAGGUCACACUGGGGUAUAGAGCUGCCCCAGGACCAGGUGCUUGGGUCCUGGCCAGGGUUCCUUCCCUGCCUUUGAGGGCUUCAGUGUGUAUGUAAACGAUGAACUUGUCCAUUGCUGCGCACACAGGAGGUACUUAAAAGUGCCAUACUCUCUAGAAGAGAUCUUCCUCCAUAGUGAAAAAGGAAACCGAGGCCCCAUUUCACCAGGGCUUGACCUGUGAGUCCACACACUGGAGGGUCUCAGGAUGGAAGGCAACUUAGUGCUGCCCUAAUCCCCCUCACAGCAUCUCUGCAGAUGACAACCCUCCUGUUGCUGUGACAGGACACCAGCAUAGAGGACUGAGGCCCUUCAAGAGUCGUUUCAAGACACAAUAUGUCCCUUUAGCCACUCUGAGCAGGAAGAAGGUGCAGCCCAGAAAUCCCACCAGCUGGAGGUCAAAGUCACAGAGUCAGGGUGCUGUAGUGGCUGGUGGCAUGCAGUUUGGGACAGUAAAGAUGACCCAUCUCUUCCCUUGGUCUCUCUCUAUACAGCCCAGACAGAUGUCAGCUCAGUCUCCAACUAAAUGCCUUUAGGAAUAAGGGGCCCCUCCCACCCAGAAAUUGAUCUAAUUCUUUAUUUAUGUCCAGGGACACGCUGUGUUCUUCAUUGGACCCAGAUCUGCCUCAGCCCUCUGGAGUGCCUGGGCACGCCCAAGUUCUGCCAGGUGAUAGCUUUGCACAUAGUGGAGAACAGCUACCACAGGGCACCCCAAGCCUUCAUUUUGCUGGGUUAAUUUUUGCAUUUUGUUAGCUCCUCCUUUUCUGACCCUUUGCU
Long non-coding RNA from Ictidomys tridecemlineatus (thirteen-lined ground squirrel), 1829 nucleotides. Lineage: Eukaryota; Metazoa; Chordata; Mammalia; Rodentia; Sciuridae. The record is from Ensembl.